RNAcentral lists this ribosomal RNA (850 nucleotides) under uncultured bacterium. Its description in RNAcentral is "bacterial SSU rRNA". It matches the Rfam family "Bacterial small subunit ribosomal RNA", at positions 8 to 817 of the family's 1533-position model. The record is from RNAcentral.
AGAGUUUGAUCCUGGCUCAGGACGAACGCUGGCGGCGUGCCUAAUACAUGCAAGUCGAGCGAGCUUGCCUAGAUGAUUUUAGUGCUUGCACUAAAUGAAACUAGAUACAAGCGAGCGGCGGACGGGUGAGUAACACGUGGGUAACCUGCCCAAGAGACUGGGAUAACACCUGGAAACAGAUGCUAAUACCGGAUAACAACACUAGACGCAUGUCUAGAGUUUGAAAGAUGGUUCUGCUAUCACUCUUGGAUGGACCUGCGGUGCAUUAGCUAGUUGGUAAGGUAACGGCUUACCAAGGCAAUGAUGCAUAGCCGAGUUGAGAGACUGAUCGGCCACAUUGGGACUGAGACACGGCCCCAAACUCCUACGGGAGGCAGCAGUAGGGAAUCUUCCACAAUGGACGAAAGUCUGAUGGAGCAACGCCGCGUGAGUGAAGAAGGGUUUCGGCUCGUAAAGCUCUGUUGGUAGUGAAGAAAGAUAGAGGUAGUAACUGGCCUUUAUUUGACGGUAAUUACUUAGAAAGUCACGGCUAACUACGUGCCAGCAGCCGCGGUAAUACGUAGGUGGCAAGCGUUGUCCGGAUUUAUUGGGCGUAAAGCGAGUGCAGGCGGUUCAAUAAGUCUGAUGUGAAAGCCUUCGGCUCAACCGGAGAAUUGCAUCAGAAACUGUUGAACUUGAGUGCAGAAGAGGAGAGUGGAACUCCAUGUGUAGCGGUGGAAUGCGUAGAUAUAUGGAAGAACACCAGUGGCGAAGGCGGCUCUCUGGUCUGCAACUGACGCUGAGGCUCGAAAGCAUGGGUAGCGAACAGGAUUAGAUAUCCUGGUAGUCCAUGCCGUAAACGAUGAGUGCU